GACGAACGCUGGCGGCGUGCUUAACACAUGCAAGUCGAACGGAAAGGCCCUGCUUUUGUGGGGUGCUCGAGUGGCGAACCGGUGAGUAACACGUGAGUAACCUGCCCUUGACUUUGGGAUAACUUCAGGAAACUGGGGCUAAUACCGGAUAGGAGCUCCUGCUGCAUGGUGGGGGUUGGAAAGUUCCGGCGGUUGGGGAUGGACUCGCGGCUUAUCAGCUUGUUGGUGGGGUAGUGGCUUACCAAGGCUUUGACGGGUAGCCGGCCUGAGAGGGUGACCGGCCACAUUGGGACUGAGAUACGGCCCAGACUCCUACGGGAGGCAGCAGUGGGGAAUAUUGCACAAUGGGCGGAAGCCUGAUGCAGCAACGCCGCGUGCGGGAUGACGGCCUUCGGGUUGUAAACCGCUUUCGCCUGUGACGAAGCGUGAGUGACGGUAAUGGGUAAAGAAGCACCGGCUAACUACGUG
RNAcentral lists this ribosomal RNA (468 nucleotides) under uncultured bacterium. RNAcentral's name for it is "partial 16S ribosomal RNA". It matches the Rfam family "Bacterial small subunit ribosomal RNA", at positions 28 to 507 of the family's 1533-position model. The record is from RNAcentral.